GACGAACGCUGGCGGCGUGCCUAAUACAUGCAAGUUGAGCGCUGAAGGUUGGUACUUGUACCAACUGGAUGAGCAGCGAACGGGUGAGUAACGCGUGGGGAAUCUGCCUUUGAGCGGGGGACAACAUUUGGAAACGAAUGCUAAUACCGCAUAAAAACUUUAAACACAAGUUUUAAGUUUGAAAGAUGCAAUUGCAUCACUCAAAGAUGAUCCCGCGUUGUAUUAGCUAGUUGGUGAGGUAAAGGCUCACCAAGGCGAUGAUACAUAGCCGACCUGAGAGGGUGAUCGGCCACAUUGGGACUGAGACACGGCCCAAACUCCUACGGGAGGCAGCAGUAGGGAAUCUUCGGCAAUGGACGAAAGUCUGACCGAGCAACGCCGCGUGAGUGAAGAAGGUUUUCGGAUCGUAAAACUCUGUUGGUAGAGAAGAACGGUGGUGAGAGUGGAAAGCUCAUCAAGUGACGGUAACUACCCAGAAAGGGACGGCUAACUACGUGC
This 498-nucleotide ribosomal RNA is filed under the name uncultured bacterium. Its description in RNAcentral is "partial 16S ribosomal RNA". It matches the Rfam family "Bacterial small subunit ribosomal RNA", at positions 28 to 508 of the family's 1533-position model. The record is from RNAcentral.